AGGAGAAAAUGGACAGGCGUUUCUAUAUUAUGUGCUACGAAUGAAUCCUAUUUUAGUGCUUUUCACUGUGGGGUUUAUACCACACAAAAAAUACAUGUAGGACAUUUUUAUUUUGGCAGCUUUCACAAAAAUUGUGGUGAUGGUUGCCUAUGAACAUUUCCUUACACAUUAUUAGAGAAUAGAUUCCAGAAACUUCCUGGAAAUAAUUACUCCAAGUUUAACAUUGCUUUGAUUUAAAAUGCAGUUUUGUAUAGUUUUAAAAUGCAAAUUUUAGAAUAUGGGACCUCGGCUAAAAUUUCAUUCUGGAAGUCUUAUUUAAUGGAUGUAGAUACCAAUACCAUAAAACUUGCUAAAUCUAUGUGUGUCAACACUGAUUUAAGUGAAGUAGGAGAAAUGUGACCCAACUAAGAUAUUAUGAGACAAAAAUAAACUAUACAGAACUGUUUGGCUGCUUGAUACUAACAUAACUAGUUAGAAAAUAAUGAUGUUUGCUAUUCUUUAUUAGCUUAUUUCACCUUUAUUUUAAAUCAUUUAAUAUUUUUUCUUGAUAGAUUAUUCAAAAUUGACAUUUAAAGAGUAUUAAAGAAACAGUAUCCUUUUAUAUUUUUCCUUCUCAUACAUAACCAUAGUCCUGGUUUUCCUUAAUAUGUGAUCCAGAAUAUAAUUUGCAAUUUAUGCUUCGAUAUAUUUUCAGCUUUUUGCUUAGAUUGUGCCUGAUAUAUUUCAUUAUUUUAAGAAAUGUAUCAAGAUCAGGAGUUCUUUUAAAGUUAGGAACAAUAACAAAAACAACAUGCUAACUUGUAAACCCAAUGGACAUGAAAAUAAUACUCUAAAAAGCAAAUGUUAUGUGUGCCUUUAAAAGUAUAAAACAAUCAUUCUGGAUCGAUAAACUGCUACUUUGAGUCAAAUUGGACUUAAAGUUUUUUUCUUCUGAUACUACCCCAAAGAAGGCUCUAUUCACCUCGCUUUAAAUUAUACAAACAAAUAACACAAAUGGACAGUUAAAGUGAAUAUUUUAUGCUUUAAAGAAGACUAAUAUUUUAUGCUAUAAAGGCAUGAUCCAAAAGAGAAGUAAUAAAAUCAUCUCUUCCCUUACCUCUAGGAUUUCUAGGCUGGUCGAACCCUGACCAUUACUAGUAGUGUUUCAAGUUUCUUCCAUUUACUUUCAUUAUACUGGGUUAUUUGUAUCUUCGAGUGAAAUGGCUGAGCUUUCCCUCUAAUUCCUGUUGCUAUUGACAACCAAAGCAGC
Molecule: long non-coding RNA, 1249 nt
Filed under: Bos taurus (domestic cattle)
Lineage: Eukaryota; Metazoa; Chordata; Mammalia; Artiodactyla; Bovidae
Description: long non-coding RNA NONBTAT021904
Source: RNAcentral